AAAAAUCUAUAAAAAAAAAUAUCGCAGGCGCACAAGCGCGUGCGCAAAGACAAGUACCAACUAAGUGAAAUUAUACGUAUACCAAAAGAUUAAUGCUACUUUUACCACAUUUGUAUACCACAUUCUCAUACCAUCUUAUGUGACAGAUGAGAUGAACAGCUACAUCAAUUACAAUUAUUUAAUAUUUUCUUUUCUUUUAUGAUUUAUUGACACUUUAAAAAAAAAGUGUUAAUUAAACUUUCUUUAUUAAAAUACACCUCAUUGAUUUAAGAGCUCUUUAGUUUUAACCCAUAAAAAACUUAACUAAUUUGGAAGAAAGAUAAUUAAUUUUGCUUAAUUAAUAUAAAACCAAAUCCACCUAAUUUUACCAAAAGGACAUCCAACAACCCUAAAAUUACUACAUGUGUCAUUGUGCUUAACUUUCAAAUACAGUUUAUUUAAUUAUAAACCAAAACUUAAAACUAUCGAAACGACAUAACAUUCCCACAAAACACAACACAAAACGACACUACUCAAAUUUAAUCACUUCAAAAACUGGUUUCGCGCGACCUUUCAUAUCCCACUGCAAGCCUACAAACUAUUCUCCAAAAACGAAGACGACGAGCAACGGCGACGACGACCAACGACGACGAGCAACGACCACCGAC
This 647-nucleotide long non-coding RNA is filed under the name Prunus persica (peach). Its description in RNAcentral is "long non-coding RNA (PPER_LNC006309)". The record is from RNAcentral. Lineage: Eukaryota; Viridiplantae; Streptophyta; Magnoliopsida; Rosales; Rosaceae.